Molecule: ribosomal RNA, 356 nt
Filed under: uncultured Glomeraceae
Lineage: Eukaryota; Fungi; Glomeromycota; Glomeromycetes; Glomerales; Glomeraceae
Description: SSU rRNA
Rfam family: Eukaryotic small subunit ribosomal RNA
Source: RNAcentral
AGCAGCCGCGGUAAUUCCAGCUCCAAUAGCGUAUAUUAAAGUUGUUGCAGUUAAAAAGCUCGUAGUUGAAUUUCGGGGUCGGUAGAUUGGUCGUGCCUCUGGUAUGCACUGGUCUUACUGGCUCCUCCUUCCUGAUGAACCGUAAUGCCAUUAAUUUGGUGUUGCGGGGAGACUGGACUGUUACUUUGAAAAAAUUAGAGUGUUUAAAGCAGGUUAACGCUUGAAUACAUUAGCAUGGAAUAAUGAAAUAGGACGUUCGAUCUUAUUUUGUUGGUUUCUAAGAUUGACGUAAUGAUUAAUAGGGAUAGUUGGGGGCAUUAGUAUUCAAUUGUCAGAGGUGAAAUUCUUGGAGUUAU